RNAcentral lists this ribosomal RNA (569 nucleotides) under Salmonella enterica subsp. arizonae serovar 48:z4,z24:-. RNAcentral's name for it is "bacterial SSU rRNA". It matches the Rfam family "Bacterial small subunit ribosomal RNA", at positions 974 to 1533 of the family's 1533-position model. Lineage: Bacteria; Pseudomonadati; Pseudomonadota; Gammaproteobacteria; Enterobacterales; Enterobacteriaceae. The record is from RNAcentral.
CCUGGUCUUGACAUCCACAGAACCCUGUAGAGAUACGGGGGUGCCUUCGGGAGCUGUGAGACAGGUGCUGCAUGGCUGUCGUCAGCUCGUGUUGUGAAAUGUUGGGUUAAGUCCCGCAACGAGCGCAACCCUUAUCCUUUGUUGCCAGCGGUCCGGCCGGGAACUCAAAGGAGACUGCCAGUGAUAAACUGGAGGAAGGUGGGGAUGACGUCAAGUCAUCAUGGCCCUUACGACCAGGGCUACACACGUGCUACAAUGGCGCAUACAAAGAGAAGCGACCUCGCGAGAGCAAGCGGACCUCAUAAAGUGCGUCGUAGUCCGGACUGGAGUCUGCAACUCGACUCCAUGAAGUCGGAAUCGCUAGUAAUCGUGGAUCAGAAUGCCACGGUGAAUACGUUCCCGGGCCUUGUACACACCGCCCGUCACACCAUGGGAGUGGGUUGCAAAAGAAGUAGGUAGCUUAACCUUCGGGAGGGCGCUUACCACUUUGUGAUUCAUGACUGGGGUGAAGUCGUAACAAGGUAACCGUAGGGGAACCUGCGGUUGGAUCACCUCCUUACCUGAAAGAA